UGCAAGUCGAACGGAUCCUUCGGGAUUAGUGGCAGACGGGUGAGUAACGCGUGGGAAGCUACCUUGUGGUAGGGAACAACAGUUGGAAACGACUGCUAAUACCCUAUGAGCCCUAUGGGGGAAAGAUUUAUCGCCAUGAGAUGUGCCCGCGUUAGAUUAGCUAGUUGGUAAGGUAAUGGCUUACCAAGGCGACGAUCUAUAGCUGGUCUGAGAGGAUGAUCAGCCACACUGGGACUGAGACACGGCCCAGACUCCUACGGGAGGCAGCAGUGGGGAAUAUUGGACAAUGGGGGCAACCCUGAUCCAGCCAUGCCGCGUGAGUGAUGACGGCCUUAGGGUUGUAAAGCUCUUUCAGCAGUGAAGAUAAUGACAUUAACUGCAGAAGAAGCCCCGGCUAACUUCGUGCCAGCAGCCGCGGUAAUACGAAGGGGGCUAGCGUUGUUCGGAAUCACUGGGCGUAAAGCGUACGUAGGCGGACUGAUCAGUCAGGGGUGAAAUCCCGGGGCUCAACCCCGGAACUGCCUUUGAUACUGUCAGUCUUGAGAUCGAGAGAGGUGAGUGGAACUCCGAGUGUAGAGGUGAAAUUCGUAGAUAUUCGGAAGAACACCAGUGGCGAAGGCGGCUCACUGGCUCGAUACUGACGCUGA
This 647-nucleotide ribosomal RNA is filed under the name bacterium T265. Its description in RNAcentral is "bacterial SSU rRNA". It matches the Rfam family "Bacterial small subunit ribosomal RNA", at positions 56 to 749 of the family's 1533-position model. The record is from RNAcentral.